UACGCCCGUAGUUUAUGAGGAUGAGUACCUCCGCAGGAGGUUCGAGCCUCGCGAAGCGAGACAACGUUGCUUCAGCAACGGCCCGCAGGGCGCGAAUCAAAGAUGCGCGUAAUCCUCUCUCGCCGACCA
Molecule: small RNA, 129 nt
Filed under: Serratia marcescens
Lineage: Bacteria; Pseudomonadati; Pseudomonadota; Gammaproteobacteria; Enterobacterales; Yersiniaceae
Description: RtT sRNA
Rfam family: RtT RNA
About the family: This family represents a bacterial cis-regulatory element known as RtT RNA. The exact function of RtT is unknown although it is thought that it may be involved in changing the cellular response in relation to amino acid starvation.
Source: RNAcentral